This 253-nucleotide ribosomal RNA is filed under the name uncultured bacterium. RNAcentral's name for it is "partial 16S ribosomal RNA". It matches the Rfam family "Bacterial small subunit ribosomal RNA", at positions 524 to 776 of the family's 1533-position model. The record is from RNAcentral.
UACGUAGGGUCCGAGCGUUGUCCGGAAUUAUUGGGCGUAAAGGGCUCGUAGGCGGUUAGUCGCGUCGGGAGUGAAAACUCAGGGCUCAACCCUGAGCGUGCUUCCGAUACGGGCUGACUAGAGGUAUGCAGGGGAGAACGGAAUUCCUGGUGUAGCGGUGGAAUGCGCAGAUAUCAGGAGGAACACCGGUGGCGAAGGCGGUUCUCUGGGCAUUACCUGACGCUGAGGAGCGAAAGUGUGGGGAGCGAACAGG